CAGCCAAUACAGACAACGUAAAACAUGACAUAAACAACCAGAGAAAAUGGCGGACAUCGAAACAAUUGACACGCGAAACCGCGAUGUGAAUUGCCUCUAUUGGCCUGAUUAUAUAUUUCGUGAGUGUUAAUGGCGUCCUUGUUUCUUUGAUGAGUUGAAAUUUUCCUGCUGUCAUUGCUGACAAUCAUGAUUUUAUGUAAAGAUGGAAUUGGACACCGAUACUUUAUCACAAAACCAAUAAUAUCACUAUCACAUAAACGUACAUUGACAGCUUCAAAUGGCAUAGUUAAUACAAACAAGUAUUGUGAUCACACUCCACGGCGUAAUAGCAUGUUUUGCCCCAAGAGCACCGUGGAUCCACGGUGCAAUAGCACCAAGUGACAUUAGAGCGCCGUGGAUCCACGGUGCAAUAGCACUAUAUGACACUAGAGGGCCGUGGACUCCACGGUGCAAUAGGCGCAACCCUGCAAAAAACGACGGGCAUCCCUAAAAUGCGAAAGCGAAACGCGAAACGAACAGCGACUAAAACGCGGAACGCUGUGCGAAACAACCCCCAGGCAAUGGGCUGCGGAACACUCAAAUAUCGCCUAAGGGCAGCCUAAAUAGCGAAACGAUUUUGCGACACACUUAUUUGAAAUGCCAUUGGAUUUUGCAUUUCAUUUAGAGAAAUAAGAACCGUGUACUAUUCUUUUUUGAGAAAAUUUAACACCGAUAAUACGGAACGCCGUUUGAUCCAUUUUUUUAUAGACAACUCUUAAUGCUAGCUGAUCGUUUCUGUAGCGAAUAAAUAGCUAGCUAGCACUGCCAUCUAGCGUUAAAAAACGACACUAAUAGGAGGGAUUUGAAUAGACCACGCCUUCAACGAAGGAGGACUCCACUACAUAUUGAAUUUAUCGAUCGAUUGCUAGGCCCAUUUCGAUCGCUACUGUGCAGUCAAUGGCGGCAUGGCGGAGACACGCAUUGGAACUUGGAAGUGGAUGCAUGUGCGACUUGAUGUGGCGUUGCAUGUGGCAGGCUCCGUUGGUAAUGUUCGCAGACUGGUCAUUUGAUGAUGCUUGUGAACAGUGGUAGUGCUUGGGUGCCUCAAGAGGGAAUCGCAGAACAUAGCCAUAGAGCUAAAAGUCAUAGAAGAUUUUUAAAUUGUUAUUUGAUUUUGUGUUGUUUCAGCAGCAGUAGCAAUCUGUUAUGUCCAAACAUGGAAUGAGUCGCAUGUGACUAAGUCAACCAAAUGUGGCAACAACAUUAAGUCAGCGAUGGAAUUAGUCAGUGGAAAACAACACAUUCAUUCCUGAGGAUGGUUUUGAGUUUAUCUAUGCUUAUUUUUUCAGGCCAACUGGAAGGAUUCCUCCUUUUCACAGAACUUUACCAUUUUCAUGGUAUACUUAACUGCUUGUCAGCGGAUUGUCACUUGGCAUCAUUUGAAUGGUAUGAUCCAUAUCAGCAGUGUUAUGAUGCACUUCUUAAAUACACCAAUCCCUCAGAAAAUAUUCUAAUUGAAAUUAUGGAAAUUUCUGCCCUUCAUGCAGAACUGCACAAUGAUGGGUUUGUAUAAACAAGCUUGAAAUGACAAACCAACAGUAUUUUUGGUUUGGCUUACACAUGCAGCUCUAUGACAUGUUGAUGUUAGCUAAAUUGUUAUUAAUCAUAGGGGCAGGUAGUAUGAAAUGAAAUAUCUUCUCUUGGAUGUUUGUGUCUAUGUAUUUGUUUGAGAUGACUCUUGAUGCAGGAAGCUUUUCCUGCUUCUUACGAAAAGGGACAUUGGAUGCCUUAAUGUCUAAUACCAACCAAGUGUCAUUGCAAAGAUAGGUCAAAGAAAUAUUAAUAUAGAUUACACUCUGAGUGAUGGUGACAUGGUAUCUUACUGAUUUCUAUUGGUUUAAUUUGUGGAAAGAAUAUCUUGAGCGGGACAAUUGGAUCACAAUUGACUAGAUGUUUUACUAUUUUUAAUGAGUUUAUCACAAAGAAUUUUUUACUGAUUCAUAUUCUGUUUCUGUAAUGUAGGUAGAAUAAUCGCAAUGUCAUGGUAGUAAUUCGCGAGAGAUAUGCCAAUAGGGUUUUCGCUGUUUUCAAUUCGAAAUCGUAAUGGAUUUGAAGAGGAUAUUGAUGGAGUUUUGGUAUAAAAAAGUACAUGUUCGUUGGAAGGGCACCGAAGAGUUCCGGAUCCUUUUACUAUCGCACAUGUUAUGUGCGUGUAAAACUAAAGGCUAAAAGAAGAAGAAUGAUUCAAAAACUGUGGGAGAGAAUCAUCAAAGAAUUACACUCGUUUAGGUAAUCCUUUCGGAUUCGAUUCCGCCGUUUGUGCUGCCCUUUUCUAUAAAGCACUUCUACUAAAGAGUGACGACUCGUCGCGAGUGCAUGACAUCAAUAUCGAUAACGGUUUCCUGCGUAAAGACGAAUCCGAGCAAGUCGUCACUAGUUUACAGCAACUCGGGCUCAAUCUUCGGAGUUCUUUUCCAGACAGUGGCUUCUCAUUUCUAUUGUCAUACCAGCGAUCAGAUUUGAUGUUUCGAAUUGUUUUGGGUUGCUAAAGCAAGAUUGACUUUCUACGAUGCUUCCACCAACGUGCAUGAUCGCCAAACUUUGUCGUUGUGUCGGACUGUAAAUCCGGAAGAUAAACGUCGAAUUAUUGGCGAUUGUUUGUCAAAGUGAUAGAUAGAACGGCUAACGAUUUAAAGGUCACUUGGGAUAAUCUACUUCUCGGAUAAGUUUAUUUGAGACCGGAUUUAAUUGGGGCCGCUUCGCAUAUGGCUUCUUCGCGCGCUGAUGCCAUAAAGACUCAUCGUAACGAUUCCGAAAUGGUUCGUCAAUUGAGCAUUUACGGUCCUGUAGUAGAAUCUCUUAAAGAUUUCAUUUCCAUAAAGAUGAAGUAAGAUCUUAGGUCGUGAGCUGGGUCUGUCCACAGUAUUACUGGAAUGUCACCCGUUUCCUGGUCCUGGUUAUAUAUUUAUAUUUAGUUAUAUUAUUAUUCUAAAAACCCAGAGGUGUUCUUCACUUUUCUGUAGGUUGAUUGAUGAUACUUGUUGAUUAAUCCAUGAAGAAUACCAAUACAUGGAUAAGUGGAGGGUAAUAAAAGUUUAAAAAUGUAA
Daphnia magna is the source of this 3086-nucleotide long non-coding RNA. RefSeq lists it as uncharacterized. NCBI's taxonomy places the organism in Eukaryota, Metazoa, Arthropoda, Branchiopoda, Diplostraca, Daphniidae. The record is from RefSeq and is a predicted model, not a curated record. The transcript is spliced from 11 exons.